This 536-nucleotide ribosomal RNA is filed under the name uncultured organism. RNAcentral's name for it is "bacterial SSU rRNA". It matches the Rfam family "Bacterial small subunit ribosomal RNA", at positions 853 to 1385 of the family's 1533-position model. The record is from RNAcentral.
UAACGCGAUAAGUGAUCCGCCUGAGGAGUACGAUCGCAAGGCUUAAACUCAAAGGAAUUGACGGGGGCCCGCACAAGCGGUGGAGCAUGUGGCUUAAUUCGACGCAACGCGAAGAACCUUACCUGGAUUUGACAUCUCGGGAAUUCUUAUGGAAAUAGGAAGUGCCCUUCGGGGACCCCGAUGACAGGCAAUCCAUGGCGUUAGUCAGCUCGUUUCGUGAAAUGUUGGAUUAAGUCCCCUACCGAGCGCAACCCCUUUCUUUAGUAGCCAGCGAUUUAUUUGGGCACUCUUUAAGAGACUGCACCGGUUAACGGGGAGCCCACUGGGGAUGAAGUCAAGUCUCUCAUGGCCCUUAUGUCCAGGGCUACAAAAGUGCUACAAUGGCCUGUACAAAGGGCAGCGAACUCGCGAGUGUAAGCCAAUCCCAAGAAGCAGUCCUCAGUUCGGAUUGGAGUCUGCAACUCGACUCCAUGAAGUUGGAAUCGCUAGUAAUCGUGGAUCAGCAUCCCACCGUGGAUAACUUCCCGGGCCUUGUA